Trifolium pratense (red clover) is the source of this 386-nucleotide long non-coding RNA. RefSeq lists it as uncharacterized. NCBI's taxonomy places the organism in Eukaryota, Viridiplantae, Streptophyta, Magnoliopsida, Fabales, Fabaceae. The transcript is spliced from 2 exons. The record is from RefSeq and is a predicted model, not a curated record.
UUAGAAAGAAAGAGAGGAAAGAAAGAAAGAACGAGAAGAGAAGAGAAAAAUUUGUAGAGAAGAGAAAGUGGAGAAAAGAGAAGAGCAAGGGAAAGAUGAAGAGUAGCUAGUAACUUAGUCAUGAAACCAUUCCACCUUCCUUCUUCUUCUUUUAUGAGCUUCUCAGGUGUUGCGUUUUGGUGUUCGUGUUCCGGUCUAGCCUCGCUCUGAUUUGGACACAUAGGGAGGGUGUAUAGUAUUUCAAUUUUAUUUAUAUUGUCUAGGUUAAGACAUAAAAAUGUAUAAGUCACUAGUAAAAGAUUUUCAUCUAAUGCACGUGUAUACUAAUUAAAUUUAUAGCAAUGUAAUUUGGGAAUAGUAAUACCCUAAUUCAUAAUAUUCCUCUA